Lepisosteus oculatus (spotted gar) is the source of this 121-nucleotide ribosomal RNA. The record is from Ensembl. Lineage: Eukaryota; Metazoa; Chordata; Actinopteri; Semionotiformes; Lepisosteidae.
GUCAGCAGCCAUAUCACCCUGCAACUCACAACAGGCAGCCCACUGAAGCACUAAGCAGGUGUGAGCCUGGUCAGUACCUGGAUGGGAGACCUCCUGGGAAAAACUAAGGUUGCUGCUGGAA